AAGAACGCUGGCAGCGUGCAUAACACAUGCAAGUCGAACGGUAGUAUUAUCUUCGGAUAAUAUGAGAGUGGCGAACGGGUGAGUAACACGUAAGAAUCUACCUUUAGGACGGGGAUAACUUCUGGAAACGGAUGCUAAUACCCGAUAUGCUGUGGAGUGAAAUGAAUUUCGCCUAAAGAUGAUCUUGCGUCUGAUUAGCUAGAUAGGGUGGUAAUGGCGCCCUAUGGCGACGAUCAGUAGCUGGUCUGAGAGGAUGGACAGCCACAUUGGGACUGAGACACGGCCCAAACUCCUACGAGAGGCAGCAGUGGGGAAUUUUCCGCAAUGGGCGAAAGCCUGACGGAGCGACGCUGCGUGAAGGAUGACGGCCUGAGGGUUGUAAAUUUCUUUUCUCGAAGAAGAAUCAAUGACGGUAUUCGAGGAAUAAGCAUCGGCUAACUCUGUGCCAGCAGCCGCGGUAAGACAGAGGAUGCAAGUGUUAUUCGGAUUGAUUGGGCGUAAAGCGUCUGUAGGCGGUUUAGAAAGUCUUUUGUGAAAUACUUCAGCUCAACUGGGGCUCCGCAAAAGAAACUUCUAGACUUGAGGGAAGUA
Molecule: ribosomal RNA, 591 nt
Filed under: uncultured bacterium
Lineage: Bacteria
Description: bacterial SSU rRNA
Rfam family: Bacterial small subunit ribosomal RNA
Source: RNAcentral